UUUUUAUGGACUUUUAAUUAAUUCACUUAACAUAGAUAAAGUGCUCUACUAAGAUAAUGUG
Molecule: transfer RNA, 61 nt
Filed under: Gagea chomutovae
Lineage: Eukaryota; Viridiplantae; Streptophyta; Magnoliopsida; Liliales; Liliaceae
Description: tRNA-Phe
Source: RNAcentral